This 467-nucleotide ribosomal RNA is filed under the name uncultured bacterium. Its description in RNAcentral is "partial 16S ribosomal RNA". It matches the Rfam family "Bacterial small subunit ribosomal RNA", at positions 28 to 507 of the family's 1533-position model. The record is from RNAcentral.
GAUGAACGCUGGCGGCGUGCUUAACACAUGCAAGUCGAACGGUGAAGCAGAGCUUGCUCUGUGGAUCAGUGGCGAACGGGUGAGUAACACGUGAGCAACCUGCCCCUGACUCUGGGAUAAGCGCUGGAAACGGCGUCUAAUACUGGAUAUGAGCUGCGACCGCAUGGUCAGCAGUUGGAAAGAUUUUUCGGUCUGGGAUGGGCUCACGGCCUAUCAGCUUGUUGGUGAGGUAAUGGCUCACCAAGGCGUCGACGGGUAGCCGGCCUGAGAGGGUGACCGGCCACACUGGGACUGAGACACGGCCCAGACUCCUACGGGAGGCAGCAGUGGGGAAUAUUGCUCAAUGGGCGAAAGCCUGAUGCAGCAACGCCGCGUGAGGGAUGACGGCCUUCGGGUUGUAAACCUCUUUUAGCAGGGAAGAAGCGAGAGUGACGGUACCUGCAGAAAAAGCGCCGGCUAACUACGUG